GGGGCUGUGGCGCAGUCUGGCAGCGCGGCGAGCUUACACCUCGUAGGUCGUCGGUUCGAAUCCGGCCAGCCCCA
RNAcentral lists this transfer RNA (74 nucleotides) under Thermomonospora umbrina. Its description in RNAcentral is "Actinomadura umbrina tRNA". It matches the Rfam family "tRNA". Rfam says of the family: Transfer RNA (tRNA) molecules are approximately 80 nucleotides in length. Their secondary structure includes four short double-helical elements and three loops (D, anti-codon, and T loops). Further hydrogen bonds mediate the characteristic L-shaped molecular structure. tRNAs have two regions of fundamental functional importance: the anti-codon, which is responsible for specific mRNA codon recognition, and the 3' end, to which the tRNAs corresponding amino acid is attached (by aminoacyl-tRNA synthetases). tRNAs cope with the degeneracy of the genetic code in two manners: having more than one tRNA (with a specific anti-codon) for a particular amino acid; and 'wobble' base-pairing, i.e. permitting non-standard base-pairing at the 3rd anti-codon position. Lineage: Bacteria; Bacillati; Actinomycetota; Actinomycetes; Streptosporangiales; Thermomonosporaceae. The record is from Rfam by way of RNAcentral.